UCCCUGGUGACUUAGAUGGUAAAGAAUCUGUCUGCAAUGCAGGAGACCCAGGUUCAAUCCCUGGGUUGGGAA
RNAcentral lists this transfer RNA (72 nucleotides) under Ovis aries (sheep). It matches the Rfam family "tRNA". From Rfam's summary of the family: Transfer RNA (tRNA) molecules are approximately 80 nucleotides in length. Their secondary structure includes four short double-helical elements and three loops (D, anti-codon, and T loops). Further hydrogen bonds mediate the characteristic L-shaped molecular structure. tRNAs have two regions of fundamental functional importance: the anti-codon, which is responsible for specific mRNA codon recognition, and the 3' end, to which the tRNAs corresponding amino acid is attached (by aminoacyl-tRNA synthetases). tRNAs cope with the degeneracy of the genetic code in two manners: having more than one tRNA (with a specific anti-codon) for a particular amino acid; and 'wobble' base-pairing, i.e. permitting non-standard base-pairing at the 3rd anti-codon position. Lineage: Eukaryota; Metazoa; Chordata; Mammalia; Artiodactyla; Bovidae. The record is from Rfam by way of RNAcentral.